GUGAUACUAGUCAGACAAGCACAAGGAAAUUCCAACAGAGUGACAUGUGCUAAACAGGGGCAAACAAAAUUUAAGAGCACACAGGAGGAGCCUAAUCCAGUCACUGGAGAAUUCAGCUGGCCAACUCCUAUUUGCCCUUCAGGACUCAGUUCAAGAUCUCUAGGAAAUCUCACCUGGCUCCAAUCUAGGGUCUUGCUCUGUUGCCCAGGCUAGAGUGCAGUGACACGAUUACAGCUCACUGCAGCUUCAAACUCAAAGGCUCAAGCAAUCCUCCUGCUGCAGACUCCUCAGUUACUGGGACUAAAGGUUCCAGGCAAAAGUUUGGAAGUCACUGCCCCACACUAUUUAUCAUUGGUCUUAAGUGCUGAACUGCCCCACUCCUGGACCAUUGCUGAAAGGUGUGGCUUCAGAUACAUUUGCAAGCACUUUCUUCUAGCACAGCACUCCUUGUCACUACUGGCUCAUUCUGAACUUUGUGAUUCUACUCUGAACAAGACAAUACCUUCUCAGCCCCAAGAAAAAUAAUAUCUAUUUUUAAGC
This 540-nucleotide long non-coding RNA is filed under the name Homo sapiens (human). Its description in RNAcentral is "long non-coding RNA NONHSAT148896.1". Lineage: Eukaryota; Metazoa; Chordata; Mammalia; Primates; Hominidae. The record is from RNAcentral.